GUUUGAUCCUGGCUCAGAGUGAACGCUGGCGGCAGGCCUAACACAUGCAAGUCGAACGGCAGCACAGAGGAGCUUGCUCCUUGGGUGGCGAGUGGCGGACGGGUGAGGAAUACAUCGGAAUCUGCCCAGUCGUGGGGGAUAACAUAGGGAAACUUAUGCUAAUACCGCAUACGACCUACGGGUGAAAGCGGGGGAUCGCAAGACCUCGCGCGAUUGGAUGAGCCGAUGUCCGAUUAGCUAGUUGGCGGGGUAAUAGCCCACCAAGGCGACGAUCGGUAGCUGGUCUGAGAGGAUGAUCAGCCACACUGGAACUGAGACACGGUCCAGACUCCUACGGGAGGCAGCAGUGGGGAAUAUUAGGACAAUGGGCGCAAGCCUGAUCCAGCCAUGCCGCGU
Molecule: ribosomal RNA, 396 nt
Filed under: uncultured bacterium
Lineage: Bacteria
Description: bacterial SSU rRNA
Rfam family: Bacterial small subunit ribosomal RNA
Source: RNAcentral